GCGAGGAUCGCCGAGCCAGGUCAAAGGCGUUAGGUUCAGGGCCUAAUCCCGUAGGGGUUCGCCGGUUCAAAUCCGGCUCCUCGCA
Molecule: non-coding RNA, 85 nt
Organism: Methanospirillum hungatei JF-1
Lineage: Archaea; Methanobacteriati; Methanobacteriota; Methanomicrobia; Methanomicrobiales; Methanospirillaceae
Source: Rfam